This 31-nucleotide non-coding RNA is filed under the name Homo sapiens (human). The record is from RNAcentral. Lineage: Eukaryota; Metazoa; Chordata; Mammalia; Primates; Hominidae.
UGGUGGCAUUACCCUGAUGAUGGGCUGAAGU